UAGAUGGUUUACUUUGUGUCUAUAUCCAUCCCUUUGGAUAUUCUUUUUAUUUGUGGACGAUAAAGAUUAUGGACUCCCAACAAUCUUGGAUGAUGAUGCUCUUUAUUCCUCAAGAUAAUAUUUUGGCAUAUGGUGGCACUCUUAAUUUGGAUACGACUUGGUAUAUCUCCCUGUUGUACUUUUUGAAAGUGGUGAUGUUUUGUUCGAGGCAGCCACACUUGAGAAACAGGACAAUAUGAUUUACAAGAAAUAAAAAAAAUUCGAGCCUUGUUUUGGUCGUGAAACAACAAUAGGAGCAAGAAGUUUUAUUUAUACAGAGACCUUAAUUUCACCCAACGGAUAUAUGACUCCGACUGCUCUGAGUGUGGAGUCCAUCCCUUUAAUUAAGGAAGAUUUUUCUUCCUUGUUGAUUAUGGCAGCC
This 421-nucleotide long non-coding RNA is filed under the name Nicotiana benthamiana. Its description in RNAcentral is "long non-coding RNA (NBEN_LNC024552)". Lineage: Eukaryota; Viridiplantae; Streptophyta; Magnoliopsida; Solanales; Solanaceae. The record is from RNAcentral.